CUUAGUGGUCGGACGGGUGGAGGUAACGGACGUGGGUAACGUAGCCGUUCGUCACUCGGGGAGUAACACUUAGAAAUAAGGUAGCUAAUACCGCAUAAGCGCACGGUCCUGCAUGGGACAGUGUGAAAAACUCCGGUGGUGCAAGAUGGACCCGCGUCUGAUUAGCUGGUUGGCGGGGUAAAGGCCCACCAAGGCGACGAUCAGUAGCCGGCCUGAGAGGGUGGACGGCCACAUUGGGACUGAGACACGGCCCAAACUCCUACGGGAGGCAGCAG
Molecule: ribosomal RNA, 275 nt
Filed under: uncultured bacterium
Lineage: Bacteria
Description: partial 16S ribosomal RNA
Rfam family: Bacterial small subunit ribosomal RNA
Source: RNAcentral